GACGAACGCUGUCGGCGUGCUUAACACAUGCAAGUCGAACGGAAAGGCCCUGCUUUUGUGGGGUGCUCGAGUGGCGAACGGGUGAGUAACACGUGAGUAACCUGCCCUUGACUUUGGGAUAACUUCAGGAAACUGGGGCUAAUACCGGAUAGGAGCUCCUGCUGCAUGGUGGGGGUUGGAAAGUUUCGGCGGUUGGGGAUGGACUCGCGGCUUAUCAGCUUGUUGGUGGGGUAGUGGCUUACCAAGGCUUUGACGGGUAGCCGGCCUGAGAGGGUGACCGGCCACAUUGGGACUGAGAUACGGCCCAGACUCCUACGGGAGGCAGCAGUGGGGAAUAUUGCACAAUGGGCGGAAGCCUGAUGCAGCAACGCCGCGUGCGGGAUGACGGCCUUCGGGUUGUAAACCGCUUUCGCCUGUGACGAAGCGUGAGUGACGGUAAUGGGUAAAGAAGCACCGGCUAACUACGUGCCAGCAGCCGCGGUGAUACGUAGGGUGCGAGCGUUGUCCGGAUUUAUUGGGCGUAAAGGGCUCGUAGGUGGUUGAUCGCGUCGGAAGUGUAAUCUUGGGGCUUAACCCUGAGCGUGCUUUCGAUACGGGUUGACUUGAGGAAGGUAGGGGAGAAUGGAAUUCCUGGUGGAGCGGUGGAAUGCGCAGAUAUCAGGAGGAACACCAGUGGCGAAGGCGGUUCUCUGGGCCUUUCCUGACGCUGAGGAGCGAAAGCGUGGGGAGCGAACAGGCUUAGAUACCCUGGUAGCCCACGCUGUAAACGGUGGGUACUAGGUGUGGGGUCCAUUCCACGGGUUCCGUGCCGUAGCUAACGCUUUAAGUACCCCGCCUGGGGAGUACGGCCGCAAGGCUAAAACUCAAAGGAAUUGACGGGGCCCCGCACAAGCGGCGGAGCAUGCGGAUUAAUUCGAUGCAACGCGUAGAACCUUACCUGGGUUUGACGUGGAUCGGGAGUGCUCAGAGAUGGGUGUGCCUCUUUUGGGGUCGGUUCACAGGUGGUGCAUGCCUGUCGUCAGCUCGUGUCGUGAGAUGUUGGGUUAAGUCCCGCAACGAGCGCAACCCUUGUUCACUGUUGCCAGCACGUUAUGGUGGGGACUCAGUGGAGACCGCCGGGGUCAACUCGGAGGAAGGUGGGGAUGACGUCAAGUCCUCAUGCCCCUUAUGUCCAGGGCUUCACGCAUGCUACAAUGGCUGGUACAGAGAGUGGCGAGCCUGUGAGGGUGAGCGAAUCUCGGAAAGCCGGUCUCAGUUCGGAUUGGGGUCUGCAACUCGACCUCAUGAAGUCGGAGUCGCUAGUAAUCGCAGAUCAGCAACGCUGCGGUGAAUACGUUCCCGGGGCU
This 1346-nucleotide ribosomal RNA is filed under the name uncultured bacterium. Its description in RNAcentral is "bacterial SSU rRNA". It matches the Rfam family "Bacterial small subunit ribosomal RNA", at positions 28 to 1381 of the family's 1533-position model. The record is from RNAcentral.